RNAcentral lists this transfer RNA (77 nucleotides) under Frankia sp. RNAcentral's name for it is "tRNA-Ala". It matches the Rfam family "tRNA". Rfam says of the family: Transfer RNA (tRNA) molecules are approximately 80 nucleotides in length. Their secondary structure includes four short double-helical elements and three loops (D, anti-codon, and T loops). The record is from RNAcentral. Lineage: Bacteria; Bacillati; Actinomycetota; Actinomycetes; Frankiales; Frankiaceae. RNAcentral also lists the same sequence under 9 other names.
GGGGCUGUGGCGCAGUCUGGUAGCGCAUCACACUGGCAGUGUGAGGGUCAGGGGUUCGAAUCCCCUCAGCUCCACCA